RNAcentral lists this ribosomal RNA (509 nucleotides) under uncultured bacterium. RNAcentral's name for it is "bacterial SSU rRNA". It matches the Rfam family "Bacterial small subunit ribosomal RNA", at positions 375 to 877 of the family's 1533-position model. The record is from RNAcentral.
GCGCAAGCCUGAUCCAGCAAUGCCGCGUGCAGGAUGAAAGCCUUCGGGUUGUAAACUGCUUUUGUACGGAACGAAAAGCCCUGGGUUAAUACCCUGGGGUCAUGACGGUACCGUAAGAAUAAGCACCGGCUAACUACGUGCCAGCAGCCGCGGUAAUACGUAGGGUGCGAGCGUUAAUCGGAAUUACUGGGCGUAAAGCGUGCGCAGGCGGUUUUGUAAGACAAAGGUGAAAUCCCCGGGCUCAACCUGGGAACUGCCUUUGUGACUGCAAGGCUAGAGUACGGCAGAGGGGGAUGGAAUUCCGCGUGUAGCAGUGAAAUGCGUAGAUAUGCGGAGGAACACCGAUGGCGAAGGCAAUCCCCUGGGCCUGUACUGACGCUCAUGCACGAAAGCGUGGGGAGCAAACAGGAUUAGAUACCCUGGUAGUCCACGCCCUAAACGAUGUCAACUGGUUGUUGGGUCUUAACUGACUCAGUAACGAAGCUAACGCGUGAAGUUGACCGCCUGGG